This 900-nucleotide ribosomal RNA is filed under the name Bacillus licheniformis. RNAcentral's name for it is "partial 16S ribosomal RNA". It matches the Rfam family "Bacterial small subunit ribosomal RNA", at positions 585 to 1486 of the family's 1533-position model. The record is from RNAcentral. Lineage: Bacteria; Bacillati; Bacillota; Bacilli; Caryophanales; Bacillaceae.
AAGUCUGAUGUGAAAGCCCCCGGCUCAACCGGGGAGGGUCAUUGGAAACUGGGGAACUUGAGUGCAGAAGAGGAGAGUGGAAUUCCACGUGUAGCGGUGAAAUGCGUAGAGAUGUGGAGGAACACCAGUGGCGAAGGCGACUCUCUGGUCUGUAACUGACGCUGAGGCGCGAAAGCGUGGGGAGCGAACAGGAUUAGAUACCCUGGUAGUCCACGCCGUAAACGAUGAGUGCUAAGUGUUAGAGGGUUUCCGCCCUUUAGUGCUGCAGCAAACSCAUUAASCAYUCCGCCUGGGGAGUACGGUCGCAAGACUGAAACUCAAAGGAAUUGACGGGGGCCCGCRCAAGCGGUGGAGCAUGUGGUUUAAUUSGAAGCAACGCGAAGAACCUUACCAGGUCUUGACAUCYUCUGACAACCCUAGAGAUAGGGCUUCCCCUUCGGGGGCAGAGUGMCAGGUGGUGCAUGGUUGUCGUCAGCUCGUGUCGUGAGAUGUUGGGUUAAGUCCCGCAACGAGCGCAACCCUUGAUYUUAGUUGCCASCAUUCAGUUGGSCACUYUAAGGUGACUGCCGGUGACAAACCGGAGGAAGGUGGGGAUGACGUCAAAUCAUCAUGCCCCUUAUGMCCUGGGCUACACACGUGYUMCAAUGGGCAGAACAAAGGGCAGCAAAGCCGSGAGGYUAAGCCAAUCCCACAAAUCUGUUYUCAGUUCGGAUCGCAGUCUGCAACUSGAYUGCGUGAAGCUGGAAUCGYUAGUAAUCGCGGAUCASCAUGCCGCGGUGAAUACGUUCCCGGSCCUUGUACACACCGCCCGUCACACCACGAGAGUUUGUAACACCCGAAGUCGGUGAGGUAACCUUUUGGAGCCAGCCGCCGAAGGUGGGACAGAUGAUUGGGGGAAGU